GAAGAUCGAAGACGAUCUGAUGAAGUGGAAGAGCACGCUGUUGAUGAUUCAGGCGGUGCUCGAUGACGCUGAGGAGAAGCAGAGGACUAAUCGAUCUUUAACAUGGAAAAACAAAACCAUACAAUAAUUUUAUUACUGUUAAUAUAAAGCAGCUAACUCUUAAAAAAUCUUUGCAAGAGAAAACCAAUAGACAAAUAAAACAUAAUCGAUACUAACUCAAGGUAAAUCAAUACUAAAAACGCGAUCAUGUUUUUCUAAAAUAAUGAAUAUUUUCAUAAAUUAAUAAUUUAUUAAUUUGCCAAUUAAUUGAUGUUUGUUAAAUUUUAAUACAUUUUUUUAUGAUCCCCAAAACUAUUAAUUUAUUGAGAUUUUAUUAUAUUUGUUAUGUGGGAAACAAUGCAAUUUAUAACAAUAUAUUGUUGCAAUGGGACUAACAAAAUUUCUAGCAAUUCUCUUUUCGUAGAUAACAACCAUUUGAUUUGGAUGACAUUAACCAUGUAAAUGUUAAUAACACAUGAUUUUUUUUUUUAAAAAGGAGUUUUUCUAAUGAUUAAUAAAAGGAGAAUUCAAAGAAGAAAAUUAAAAGGAAAACAGCCAUAGGGGUUUGUGUUGGGAAUGACCAUUCGCAGUUUUUGCUAUCCUGCCACAGUUUGCUCUCUUCUCUGUACGUUUAAUAUUUGAAUGAAUGUAUUCGUUAAUUGUAACAACUCAAUGUAAUGACAUCGUGUCGUUAAUGUUCAUAUUGAGAGUUUGUUAAUUGAGUUAUUUAUUACGUAAAUUGAAAUUAAUUACACUUGUCGUCCAUUAUAUUACGUCUCUUUUAUUUAUUAGUAGUGGGCAAAUACAUGGUCCAGAUUUGCCAUCGAUGACGGUCGAUAUUUCCAGAACUAGUCAAGCGUUACAGAGAAGAAAGCAAAAAAUCACAAAACCAAUCAGAUGCAAUGGCUUCAGAUCAACCUCUUCCCACGAUGUUCGGGACUCAACACGAGAGAAUGAGAAGAGCUCUCAAGAAUCACCAGGAUGAUAUUAGAUCAAGGAUGCUAUGAGGACAAACAAAGUUGGCCGCUGUAGCUUUUGACAAUAUACAUGCUAUAGCUGUUAGAUUAAACAAACACAAACCACCAGAUAUAAGUUUUGUAUAUAUAGAUUCAAAAUGAAUGAAACAUUGCUAUGAUGUGCGUGCAUUAGUCUCUUAUUUUGUUUUCAUUGAAUCUUGUUGAUUCUUGAUCGAUUAAACUCAUUCUAAAACCACCAAGAUCUCACUAAACUCUCUAAUUGAUGAUUUAGAAAUGACAAGCAAAUCACACACCUCGAAACAAGCAAAACAGAGGCACAAUUUAAGUGGUUCCGCUUGGAGAUAGCCUAUAUCAAGUGAAGAACAGGGCAGCAAUCUUAUCUCCAUCACCGACAUCAAACUACAAGCAUUAAGAAGAAGUUACAAGCUUUUCAUGUCUCAACUGUAGCCUCUAAGACUAUAUAUACAGAUCAUGAAGAAUCUAGAUAUUUCCCCCCACUCACAAGCUGCAUUCUGGGUUUGUUAAAACAAACCCAGAAUUUUCCCGCCUUGUAAAGGUCAAUUAACAACCUUGAAUGACGUUCUUAAUUCGUG
This 1609-nucleotide long non-coding RNA is filed under the name Citrus sinensis (sweet orange). Its description in RNAcentral is "long non-coding RNA (CSIN_LNC004965)". Lineage: Eukaryota; Viridiplantae; Streptophyta; Magnoliopsida; Sapindales; Rutaceae. The record is from RNAcentral.